UACAGAGGUCUCAAGCGUUGUUCGGAUUCAUUGGGCGUAAAGGGCGCGUAGGCGGGCUGUCCAGUCUGGGGUGAAAUCCCGCGGCUCAACCGCGGAACGGCCUCGGAUACUGACGGCCUCGAGGGGGGUAGGGGCAUCUGGAACUGUAGGUGGAGCGGUGAAAUGCGUUGAUAUCUACAGGAACUCCGGUGGCGAAGGCGAGGUGCUGGACCCCUUCUGACGCUGAGGCGCGAAAGCCAGGGGAGCAAACGGG
This 253-nucleotide ribosomal RNA is filed under the name uncultured bacterium. Its description in RNAcentral is "partial 16S ribosomal RNA". It matches the Rfam family "Bacterial small subunit ribosomal RNA", at positions 524 to 776 of the family's 1533-position model. The record is from RNAcentral.